GAUGAACGCUGGCGGCGUGCCUAAUACACGCAAGUCGAGCGAACAGACGAGGAGCUUGCUCCUCUGACGUUAGCGGCGGACGGGUGAGUAACACGUGGAUAACCUACCUAUAAGACUGGGAUAACUUCGGGAAACCGGAGCUAAUACCGGAUAAUAUAUUGAACCGCAUGGUUCAAUAGUGAAAGACGGUUUUGCUGUCACUUAUAGAUGGAUCCGCGCCGCAUUAGCUAGUUGGUAAGGUAACGGCUUACCAAGGCGACGAUGCGUAGCCGACCUGAGAGGGUGAUCGGCCACACUGGAACUGAGACACGGUCCAGACUCCUACGGGAGGCAGCAGUAGGGAAUCUUCCGCAAUGGGCGAAAGCCUGACGGAGCAACGCCGCGUGAGUGAUGAAGGUCUUCGGAUCGUAAAACUCUGUUAUUAGGGAAGAACAAAUGUGUAAGUAACUAUGCACGUCUGGACGGUACCUAAUCAGAAAGCCACGGCUAACUACGU
RNAcentral lists this ribosomal RNA (496 nucleotides) under uncultured bacterium. RNAcentral describes it as "partial 16S ribosomal RNA". It matches the Rfam family "Bacterial small subunit ribosomal RNA", at positions 28 to 506 of the family's 1533-position model. The record is from RNAcentral.